UUUGCGGUUUGCCAAAAUGUUCAAUUUUGGUGAUUAAAAGGGAAGGUUGUGUGAAUCAACCGCUGUCCCGCAGCCGUGAGUCUCAAGACUGAGUUCCAAUUCUGAUGGUCACUGUCGUAAGAUGGGAAGGCCGGAACAAAGGAGACGAGCCGGAAGACCUGCCGUAAACG
This 170-nucleotide non-coding RNA is filed under the name bovine gut metagenome. The record is from RNAcentral.